UGGGGAAUAUUGGACAAUGGGCGAAAGCCUGAUCCAGCAAUGCCGCGUGAGUGAUGAAGGCCCUAGGGUUGUAAAGCUCUUUUACCCGGGAUGAUAAUGACAGUACCGGGAGAAUAAGCUCCGGCUAACUUCGUGCCAGCAGCCGCGGUAAUACGAGGGGAGCUAGCGUUGUUCGGAAUUACUGGGCGUAAAGCGCGCGUAGGCGGUUUUUUAAGUCAGAGGUGAAAGCCCGGGGCUCAACCCCGGAAUUGCCUUUGAAACUGGAAAACUAGAAUCUUGGAGAGGUCAGUGGAAUUCCGAGUGUAGAGGUGAAAUUCGUAGAGAUUCGGAAGAACACCAGUGGCGAAGGCGACUGACUGGACAAGUAUUGACGCUGAGGUGCGAAAGCGUGGGGAGCAAACA
Molecule: ribosomal RNA, 402 nt
Filed under: uncultured bacterium
Lineage: Bacteria
Description: bacterial SSU rRNA
Rfam family: Bacterial small subunit ribosomal RNA
Source: RNAcentral